AUGAGGGUGAACACGGCGCCCGGGCCUGAUGGUUUCCUGGUCAUCUUCUAUAAGCGGUUUUGUAAAAUAGUGGGACCACAGUUCGCUCACCUUGUGAAUGAAUUCACUAGGGACCGAAUAGACAUUAAACGCCUAAAUUAUGGGGUGUUGGCUUUGAUUUCGAAGGUGCCAGGUGCAUACCAAAUUAGGCAGCUUCACCCUCUCACGCUCAUAAAUGUCAGCUUCAAGCUGAUUACAAUGGGAUUUGCCUCCCGCAUUGCUCCGGUGGCAGACAAGAUUAUUGAUAAUCUGCAAACUGCCUUUAUUAAAGGGCGGAGCAUCCUGGACGGGAUAGCGGUGCUCCAUGAGGUGCUCCAUGAGAUCAAGAAUUCCAAGGAAGAGGUGUUCAUUCUUAAACUCUACUUUGAGAAAGCCUAUGACCGGGUCCGAUGGGACUUCAUUGAGGAGGUGUUCCACAAGAAAAACUUUGACCCACAAUAG
RNAcentral lists this ribosomal RNA (480 nucleotides) under Triticum aestivum (bread wheat). RNAcentral describes it as "partial small subunit ribosomal RNA". Lineage: Eukaryota; Viridiplantae; Streptophyta; Magnoliopsida; Poales; Poaceae. The record is from RNAcentral.